This 253-nucleotide ribosomal RNA is filed under the name uncultured bacterium. Its description in RNAcentral is "partial 16S ribosomal RNA". It matches the Rfam family "Bacterial small subunit ribosomal RNA", at positions 524 to 776 of the family's 1533-position model. The record is from RNAcentral.
UACGUAGGGUGCAAGCGUUGUCCGGACUUAUUGGGCGUAAAGAGCUCGUAGGCGGUCUGUCGCGUCUGCUGUGAAAAUCCAGGGCUCAACCCUGGACCUGCAGUGGGUACGGGCAGACUAGAGUGCGGUAGGGGAGAUCGGAAUUCCUGGUGUAGCGGUGAAAUGCGCAGAUAUCAGGAGGAACACCGGUGGCGAAGGCGGAUCUCUGGGCCGUAACUGACGCUGAGGAGCGAAAGCAUGGGGAGCGAACAGG